CAGCAGCCGCGGGAAUACGUAGGGUGCGAGCGUUAAUCGGAAUUACUGGGCGUAAAGCGUGCGCAGGCGGUUGUGUAAGACAGGUGUGAAAUCCCCGGGCUUAACCUGGGAACUGCGCUUGUGACUGCACAGCUAGAGUGUGGCGGAGGGGGGUGGAAUUCCACGUGUAGCAGUGAAAUGCGUAGAGAUGUGGAGGAACACCGAUGGCGAAGGCAGCCCCCUGGGCCAAUACUGACGCUCAUGCACGAAAGCGUGGGGAGCAAACAGGAUUAGAUACCCCGGUAGUCCCUGUCUCUUAUAC
Molecule: ribosomal RNA, 301 nt
Filed under: uncultured bacterium
Lineage: Bacteria
Description: partial 16S ribosomal RNA
Rfam family: Bacterial small subunit ribosomal RNA
Source: RNAcentral